GUGACUAUGCGACGCCGCGUGCAGGAUGAAGGCCUUCGGGUUGUAAACUGCUGUCAGGGGGGAAGAAACCUUACGUGUGAAUAACAUGUAAGCUGACAUCACCCCCAAAGGAAGCCACGGCUAACUCUGUGCCAGCAGCCGCGGUAAGACAGAGGUGGCAAGCGUUGUUCGGAUUUAUUGGGUGUAAAGGGCAGGUAGGCGGUCAUGUAAGUCCGGUGUGAAAUCCCAGGGCUCAACCCUGGAACUGCAUUGGAUACUGCUUGACUUGAGUAUCGGAGAGGUGAAGGGAAUUCUCGGUGUAAGGGUGAAAUCUGUAGAUAUCGAGAGGAACACCAGUGGCGAAGGCGCUUCACUGGCCGAUUACUGACGCUGAGCUGCGAAAGCAAGGGGAGCAAACAGGAUUAGAUACCCUGGUAGUCCUUGCCGUAAACGAU
RNAcentral lists this ribosomal RNA (434 nucleotides) under uncultured anaerobic ammonium-oxidizing bacterium. RNAcentral describes it as "bacterial SSU rRNA". It matches the Rfam family "Bacterial small subunit ribosomal RNA", at positions 383 to 810 of the family's 1533-position model. The record is from RNAcentral.